RNAcentral lists this unclassified non-coding RNA (286 nucleotides) under uncultured fungus. RNAcentral describes it as "partial contains 5.8S rRNA and ITS2". Lineage: Eukaryota; Fungi. The record is from RNAcentral.
AACGCAACUUGCGCCGGUUUACCGGCAUGCCUGUUUCAGUGUGCUAGGAGAGUAAACUAUCAUUAUAAAAUAUAAUGCGAUUGAGGUACAUUUAUGUUCUUCUUUCGUUAAAUAUGAAGAUGUGAAAGAUGAGUAAUCUCUCACACUGGCAAACGAAGUAGUCAUGCUUGUUCGUGAUCUCGUAUAACCAGUGCUAAAGGCUAUUGCUUAGCUAUAAAUCCCAUCUAAUAAAUUACAUAACUCCAAAAUUACCAUCAGAAAUAAGCCAAGGCUACCCGAUGAAAUU